GUGCUUGCUUCGGCAGCACAUAUACUAAAAUUGGAACGAUACAGAGAAGAUUAGCAUGGCCUCUAUCAUAUUCAGACAGGAACUUUCUCUCAGAGCUCCUCCACAGAUAA
RNAcentral lists this small nuclear RNA (110 nucleotides) under Chrysemys picta bellii (western painted turtle). The record is from RNAcentral. Lineage: Eukaryota; Metazoa; Chordata; Testudines; Emydidae.